AGCAGCCGCGGUAAUUCCAGCUCCAAUAGCGUAUAUUAAAGUUGUUGCAGUUAAAAAGCUCGUAGUUGAAUUUCGGGAUUGACACAUCGGUCGUGCCUUAAGGGGUGUGAACUGGUGUAGUCAAUUUCUCACCUUCUGGAGAACCGCGAUGUCCUUAAUUGGGUGCCGCGAGGAACCAGGACCUUUACUUUGAAAAAAUUAGAGUGUUUAAAGCAGGCAUUUUUGCUUGAAUACAUUAGCAUGGAAUAAUAAAAUAGGACGGCAUGAUUCUAUUUUGUGGUUUCUAGGAUCACCGUAAUGAUUAAUAGGGAUAGUUGGGGGCAUUAGUAUUCAAUUGUCAGAGGUGAAAUUCUUGGAUUUAUUGAAGACUAACUACUGCGAAAGCAUUGCCAAGGAUGUUUUCAUUAAUCAAGAACGAAAGUUAGGGGAUCGAAGACGAUCAGAUACCGUCGUAGUCUUAAACCAUAAACCUAUACGCCGACUAGGAAUCAAGACGAUUGUUAAUUUUUUAANGUACUUCGUUUUGGCGUCCUUAACGGGAAACCUAAA
RNAcentral lists this ribosomal RNA (549 nucleotides) under uncultured Entrophospora. Its description in RNAcentral is "SSU rRNA". It matches the Rfam family "Eukaryotic small subunit ribosomal RNA", at positions 569 to 1102 of the family's 1831-position model. The record is from RNAcentral. Lineage: Eukaryota; Fungi; Glomeromycota; Glomeromycetes; Entrophosporales; Entrophosporaceae.